Molecule: ribosomal RNA, 253 nt
Filed under: uncultured bacterium
Lineage: Bacteria
Description: partial 16S ribosomal RNA
Rfam family: Bacterial small subunit ribosomal RNA
Source: RNAcentral
UACGUAGGGUGCAAGCGUUAAUCGGAAUUACUGGGCGUAAAGCGUGCGCAGGCGGUUUUGUAAGUUUGUCGUGAAAGCCCCGGGCUCAACCUGGGAAUUGCGAUGAAGACUGCAAGGCUUGAAUCUGGCAGAGGGGGGUAGAAUUCCACGUGUAGUAGUGAAAUGCGUAGAGAUGUGGAGGAACACCGAUGGCGAAGGCAGCCCCCUGGGUCAAGAUUGACGCUCAUGCACGAAAGCGUGGGGAGCAAACAGG